This 1440-nucleotide ribosomal RNA is filed under the name uncultured organism. Its description in RNAcentral is "SSU rRNA". It matches the Rfam family "Bacterial small subunit ribosomal RNA". The record is from RNAcentral.
AUGAACGCUAGCUACAGGCUUAACACAUGCAAGUCGAGGGGCAGCAUGGUCUUAGCUUGCUAAGGCCGAUGGCGACCGGCGCACGGGUGAGUAACACGUAUCCAACCUGCCGUCUACUCUUGGACAGCCUUCUGAAAGGAAGAUUAAUACAAGAUGGCAUCAUGAGUCCACAUGUUCACAUGAUUAAAGGUAUUCCGGUAGACGAUGGGGAUGCGUUCCAUUAGAUAGUAGGCGGGGUAACGGCCCACCUAGUCUUCGAUGGAUAGGGGUUCUGAGAGGAAGGUCCCCCACAUUGGAACUGAGACACGGUCCAAACUCCUACGGGAGGCAGCAGUGAGGAAUAUUGGUCAAUGGGCGAGAGCCUGAACCAGCCAAGUAGCGUGAAGGAUGACUGCCCUAUGGGUUGUAAACUUCUUUUAUAAAGGAAUAAAGUCGGGUAUGCAUACCCGUUUGCAUGUACUUUAUGAAUAAGGAUCGGCUAACUCCGUGCCAGCAGCCGCGGUAAUACGGAGGAUCCGAGCGUUAUCCGGAUUUAUUGGGUUUAAAGGGAGCGUAGAUGGAUGUUUAAGUCAGUUGUGAAAGUUUGCGGCUCAACCGUAAAAUUGCAGUUGAUACUGGAUAUCUUGAGUGCAGUUGAGGCAGGCGGAAUUCGUGGUGUAGCGGUGAAAUGCUUAGAUAUCACGAAGAACUCCGAUUGCGAAGGCAGCCUGCUAAGCUGCAACUGACAUUGAGGCUCGAAAGUGUGGGUAUCAAACAGGAUUAGAUACCCUGGUAGUCCACACGGUAAACGAUGAAUACUCGCUGUUUGCGAUAUACAGCAAGCGGCCAAGCGAAAGCGUUAAGUAUUCCACCUGGGGAGUACGCCGGCAACGGUGAAACUCAAAGGAAUUGACGGGGGCCCGCACAAGCGGAGGAACAUGUGGUUUAAUUCGAUGAUACGCGAGGAACCUUACCCGGGCUUAAAUUGCAGAUGAAUUACGGUGAAAGCCGUAAGCCGCAAGGCAUCUGUGAAGGUGCUGCAUGGUUGUCGUCAGCUCGUGCCGUGAGGUGUCGGCUUAAGUGCCAUAACGAGCGCAACCCUUGUUGUCAGUUACUAACAGGUCAUGCUGAGGACUCUGACAAGACUGCCAUCGUAAGAUGUGAGGAAGGUGGGGAUGACGUCAAAUCAGCACGGCCCUUACGUCCGGGGCUACACACGUGUUACAAUGGGGGGUACAGAGGGCCGCUACCACGCGAGUGGAUGCCAAUCCCAAAAACCUCUCUCAGUUCGGACUGGAGUCUGCAACCCGACUCCACGAAGCUGGAUUCGCUAGUAAUCGCGCAUCAGCCACGGCGCGGUGAAUACGUUCCCGGGCCUUGUACACACCGCCCGUCAAGCCAUGGGAGCCGGGGGUACCUGAAGUGCGUAACCGCGAGGAGCGCCCUAGGGUAAAACUGGAG